RNAcentral lists this ribosomal RNA (253 nucleotides) under uncultured bacterium. RNAcentral describes it as "partial 16S ribosomal RNA". It matches the Rfam family "Bacterial small subunit ribosomal RNA", at positions 524 to 776 of the family's 1533-position model. The record is from RNAcentral.
GACGUAGGGCGCGAGCGUUGUCCGGAUUUAUUGGGCGUAAAGAGCGCGUAGGCGGUCCGAUAAGUCGGCUGUGAAAGUCAGGGGCUCAACCCUUGGAAGCCGGCCGAUACUGUCGGACUAGAGUCCGGAAGAGGCGAGUGGAAUUCCCGGUGUAGCGGUGAAAUGCGCAGAUAUCGGGAGGAACACCAAUGGCGAAGGCAGCUCGCUGGGACGGUACUGACGCUGAGGCGCGAAAGCGUGGGGAGCAAACAGG